RNAcentral lists this long non-coding RNA (351 nucleotides) under Sorghum bicolor (sorghum). RNAcentral's name for it is "long non-coding RNA (SBIC_LNC005821)". Lineage: Eukaryota; Viridiplantae; Streptophyta; Magnoliopsida; Poales; Poaceae. The record is from RNAcentral.
AACACAAAUGAUAAUAACUUUAUUAUUGGGGGACUGAAGAGAGCAACUGCUGCGGCUUCCGUAUGGACCUCGCGCUCAGAACUCAGAACUCAGAUGGAGAUGCUGUUUGGAAUGCCCUUGGCGGUGAUGCCGGCGGCAUCGCCAUUCUUGUCGGAGGUGUUGGGGUAGAGCAGCGUGUAGGGGAACUUGGCCGGCCCGUUGCGGUUCUUGAGACUUGGGUCGGCGUUCAUGGUCAUCACGCGGCUCUCGAUCUCGGUCAGCCGCGCCCCGAACCGCCGGAACGCCUCCUGCGCCUUGGCGUCCGACGUCCACUCCGGCGUGUCGCGCUGGCCGAGGUACACCUCGUCGGAG